Molecule: ribosomal RNA, 253 nt
Filed under: uncultured bacterium
Lineage: Bacteria
Description: partial 16S ribosomal RNA
Rfam family: Bacterial small subunit ribosomal RNA
Source: RNAcentral
UACGUAGGGGGCGAGCGUUGUCCGGAAUUAUUGGGCGUAAAGGGCUCGUAGGCGGUCUGUCGCGUCGGGAGUGAAAACUCAGGGCUUAACCCUGAGCCUGCUUCCGAUACGGGCAGACUAGAGGUAUGCAGGGGAGAACGGAAUUCCUGGUGUAGCGGUGGAAUGCGCAGAUAUCAGGAGGAACACCGGUGGCGAAGGCGGUUCUCUGGGCAUUACCUGACGCUGAGGAGCGAAAGUGUGGGGAGCGAACAGG